Molecule: long non-coding RNA, 7106 nt
Organism: Erpetoichthys calabaricus (reedfish)
Lineage: Eukaryota; Metazoa; Chordata; Cladistia; Polypteriformes; Polypteridae
Exons: 4
Source: RefSeq, a predicted model, not a curated record
UGUUACAAAAAAGAAACUUUAUGCAACAGUAUGCAAAGAGCCAAAUGAUGAGGACAGCACAGAUCUAAGGAAAUAGUAACUGACACGGUUCAUUGCUCUCUACAAAUGCAUCAGCUAAAGGUGUAUCACCAAGAUGGCAGCACCACACAGGUUUGUUUUAUUCAUGUCACAUAGUUAAGCCCUCAUUUAUUUGUAUUUAUUUCUUUAUAUCUGUUGUUCUUUUUGAUGCUUAGAAAUGACAUUCAAUGCAACACAGGUUUGACAAAUUUUUAUUGUCUUUCAAACUAGCUAUAAUUUCUUUCUAAGCAAAUCAUUUUCAUUAAAAAUUGAUUUUUUUUUCCUCAUCUGUAAAACAGUUCUUCCUGAACAGAUCAGAUUACAAUUGUAUUGUGAGACUUGACCCAAGUCCUGCUAAAUGAGACAUUAUUUCUUGUCACGCACACAGCCCUGGCUCAGACCCUUGACAAGAAUACACACCCAACCAGUCGCCAAGUCUGGAAAGCUCAGACGUGUCAGGUCUUUAUCACAUGCUGCACUUGGGCCAGAGCGGUGAUGCUUUUUCUCUCUUCAGUUCACUCCCACAUCACAAACAUCUGUCUGUGAGACAAGAGUUAGUGCUCUGCUGCCUCAAAAUGACUGCAUUUCAUCAAGGCUGCGCAGAAAGCCUGCAAAAGUUUACCGAGCUGCAGGGUGACGAUCCACCAGACUUGGCACGAGCAGAGCAGUCACAGAGCCCUCUCACGCAAUCACGUUCAGGCCACAGAGUUUAUUUACUCAGAAAAUACAGUACAGGUUAACACAGAGAGGGAGAGCUGGCUAAAUAUUUUCAUUCUUCACAUCAACCACCACAGCUGGAGCAGCUCCAGGCUGUCAGUGCCACUGUGCUUGUUAGAUAAGCAGCUGCGUUUCCUCCACUAUGCGUAUGGCUUCUUUCCUUUGAAAUCAACAUUGGCAAGUGCUGUGAAAAAAUACAAGGGGGGUCCUGGAAUUCUAUGUUAAUGCAGUGUACUGAGGCAACUAAUAACAUUAAUUGUGUCCCCACUGAUGCACAAAACAAUGGCUUUACUAUAGUUUAUAUUUGGGGCGGAUAGCAGCUUGGUCUACAAGCUCCUAUGUCCUCAGCUGACUACUUUUUCUUUGUGGAGACAUAGUGCAAAAUGUGUCUGUUUUCAUGUAUAAAUACACAAACAUGCCUAAUUAACCUGAGUGUUCUAUAUCAGGGUUUCUCAAAGUCAGCCCUGGGGGCCCACUGUGGCUUCAGGUUUUUGUUUCAGCCAGAUUCAUAAUCAGUGAAAACAACUGAUAACACCGAUCUCAUUUAAUUAGCUGGUAUUUUUUUCUCUUCUCUUAUAUCUCUCUUCUUAUUACAGCAGAAUGAUGUUUAUGUCUAGAAGACAUUUAGAAACAUUUCUGCUUUUGCUAUAGAUUUAAAUGCUUAACUCUCUUUUCCUGAUUUCAUUUUAUUUUGCCCUUUCUGUGUGCUGUUUGCUCCAUUCAUUGUGUCUUAAUAAUGACAAUUAAAAAACAAGCAGAGCAGACACUCAGGCAAACAACACUGAAUCAUUAAAAGCUGCAACUACUUUAGCGUCAGACCCACUAAUUAGUAAAUAAUGGAUUAAUGGAACAAUUAGAACACCUGGAAAAGCAGAAUGAAAAUCAAGAUGAAAAUAUUGUUAAAAAGAAAAAAAACAUCAUUCCCAUAUAACUGCUUAGCACAUUUUAAUGUAUUCAUUUUUUUUUUACCAAACUUAGUUUUCUAAUCUCUAUAUUGUGUUGUUCCCAAAACAAAGAAUCUGGGAAAUAACAGUUAAUUUAAAUGGCCAAGAAGUCAAAUUAAAAACAGAAGCUGUUUGGAACAAAAAUCUGCAGCCACAGUGGAUCCCCAGGACCAAGUUUAAGAACCCAUGUUCUAUAUUAUACAGAUAUUACAACAAUAAUUUAGAGAUAGGAGAAUGAUACCGAAGCAUCGAAGCUUGUGUCAGUGUAUCCAAGGUGUCCAAUAAAAGGUGUCAUUUUGCUUGACUUUUCACUACAUUCAUAAUGGCUAACACGGUACAACACCCUAGUACUACUCAUCUCCUGAAAAGGACUGGCAUCCCAUCUGGGGUUGUUUCUUGCCUUGCAAACAAUGCUGCCAGAAUAACCAUAUUCAACCACGCACACGGCACCUCUCACCUCUCAUUCGUAUGAAUGCUUUUGACAGACACAGUUCCUGCUCUCUUAACUGUUAUAAAUUUUUACGUUUUCCUUACUUUAAGUUCCCAAUAAAAGAAGACUUGAUAUGUCCAAAUCUUAUUGAAGAAUUUCAUCCCGAAGAGUUAUCAACAGAAGAAAUGAGUACACGGGCAAUCCUAGCACCAAGAAACGAUGAAGUCAAACAAAUUAAUGCAAAAAUUGUCGAUCAAUUACACGACAAAUUAGCUAAAUGUGUAUCGAUAGACUAUACUGAAACAGUUGGUGGUGAUCGUGCGGAUGAUGAAAACAUCAACUUACAAUAUCCCAAAGAAUAUCUACAACUGUUAACACAGUACAGUCUUCCACCGCCCGAAUUACUGUUGAAAGAAGAUGUAUCCAAGAAAGGUACUGUAGUACAUCUCCCGCGGAUAACUUUAGACACUAAAGGAGAUCUUGAUAUGCCAUUCGUAUUAAAAUGUUAACAGUUUCCUGUUAGAAUAGCUUUUGCAAAGACAAUUAACAAAUCACAGAGACAAAUAUUUGAAAAAGUCAGUUUAUUUAUUAGAGAGAAAGAAACAAAAUUCAGUCACGGGCAGUUACAGUAUACAUUGCGUUGUCACGAUGUACUGUAAGUCCAAACAUAGAAUCAAAAUUCAAUGCGAUAUUGAUGAAAAUGUAAUUCAAAGUUUUACAGUAAAAGUGUAAGUUUAAAAAGUAUUUGCAUGUUAAUUUCAAAUCCAAACAGAACAAAAUUGUACAAUGCAAUGAAUAACUCUGAUGCAACAUGAAACACAAUUUACUUUUUACUAUUUUUUAAUAUGGUUAAUUACUCGCUGUAAUGUAAAAUAGUUAGUUCUAUUAUGCAUAUGUAACAAUUCCCAUGAAAAUAACAAUCUGUUGAAAUUGUACAUCCGCAUCCCCAUACACAAGCGGCUGAAUCAUAAAGUGGCUAGCGCGUAGCGCCGGCCCGGAGGUUGGCAAGUGAAGCGAGCAGGGGGCAAAGCCCCCAAGUAAUUUAAAUGUAAUAGUCAGUAUUUUGGUUUGCAGUGUGUACAUUGAUUGACUUUUAUUCUAUAUGUCAUUUGGGUAUAAGCUGAUGAACCAACCAGAGUAAAUGCAUCCUUUAAUAUUUUGACCAUUCUGACCAUGCUGUAAUAGACUGCUUGUGAGAAUGCUCCCUCUUCAUGAAGUGACAAUAAAAGACGUAUAGAAUGGUUGUUCUCCUGCCUGGUUUCUAAUAGUAAGAGGUUCUAAAUUUAAGAUAAGAUUCUAUUAAUAUAUCUAAAUUUAAUUUCUUCCACACUGACUCCUUGCUGUUAACCUUUUUCACUGUGCAGAUUGCGCACUUUGAGUGACAGGGCUUUUAGUGUAUCAGGGCCACAGUUAUGGAAUGCCCUGCCUUUGCACCUUUGUACACGUCCCUCACUUUCUGUUUUUAAAUCUAAACUUAAAACCUACCUUUUUAAUAUAUUGCCUUUUGUUGUUCUCAUUAGUUUGUUUGUUUAUUAGACUUUGAUUUUAUGUAUAUUGUUAUACAGUGUCCUUGGGUACCUUGAAAGUGCUUUUUAAUACAAUUUAUUAUUAUUACUCAUUACUAUUCAUUUGACAAAAUCCUUUAAAACAGUUUACAUUAUUACAGAAAUAUAUGAAGUACUGAUAAAUCAGGUCGUGGGGUGAAACUGAUGUAUUAUACUGUCAGCAUAAAGAAAACGUGAGAAAAGUGAGAAAAGAAAGAUGCUGUACAAAGCAAAAAAGUAUGCAACCCAAAUUUAAUCUGAGUGCCCUGAUUAGACAUCAGAUUAGAAAAAACAGCAGAAAUUUUUAUAAUGGAGAUCACAAUCAGCACAGAUUCUUCUAGAUCAGGUUUACUUUUUUGUUUGUUCUUUUAGCAGUGAACCACGAAAGUGGCCACCUCUUAUCAACAGAAGAGUUUAUAUUAAAUACAGCUGUAGUCUUUCUUGAAAAAAAAGAAAAUGCGAAUAAUGAGAACUGGAGCGGUAACAAUGUGACUUUGGCAGAACUUCUUACAUAAUGGCAAAGGUAUUCAUGUCACUAUGAAUAAAAUGUAUAUCUAUGACGGCCUACAAGGACAUUUUAGUGUUCACAAGAAUGUGCUUUGCAUGCAAAGUCUGCUGCCUUUGAAUACUUGGUGUAGAGCCAGAAAACACACAAUGGAGGAGUCACCUACUCAGAGUAGGGCAAACUAAAUGAGACUAAAGGAAUGAUUCACAAUGAAGGAUUGGCCACUUUGUGUAUUUUAAAAAGAAUUUCUACUUUGCUUGCUUUGUCACUGAUUAUUUCAUUAUUGGUAAAAACGUAACAACAAAUUAAUGAGCAUUUCUUGAGUAUCUUGAUGCUUUAUCUCUGAAACGUAAGUGGCAAUGUGUUAUCAAAGCAAAGAUGCUUUAGGAAGGGCACUAUAAUGCCCUGUGCCAGUUUUCAUGACAGUGGUUAUUAUGGCUGGGGCACCCACAUGCAGCCCAUGAAUUAAUUAUGCUGAUAUUUACGUAAAUUCCAUCUCACUGUAGCUCAGAUUUGAUAUUUUUUUCUGCUCAGGUUCUCAAUAUUUUUCAUGCUCUUGAGUAAUCUUGCUACUCAAGUUUUAUACUUUACAUUACUUUCUAGCAUGAUUUGUCGACUGUGUUUCAUGUGUCUGUGUUAAAGCCGUGGCACCUGAUUGUUGAGUAUGAGCAAGGCAUUUCUGAGAGAAAACGCAAGACUUAUGAUGUUCCAAAAGAGUAUUCAAGGGUAAAGGACACAUUUGGUACGGCGCCACAGGUGUGGUUUUAGGGGAGCAAAGCGGUCAGAGAAUUGUACCUUAAGGACGGUCAGCAAUUUGUUGCUGUUGGUAGGUUUAAGUCUGACCCAUCUUACUUGUUCCAGAGAUGUCCCUCAGGGAUCAGUCCUUGGCCCUCUUUAUCAUGUAUAUGCUUCUUCUUGGUGUCAUUAUUAGACUGCAUGGCCUACACUUUCACUGUUAUGCUAAGGAUACACAGAUUUAUUUACAGACUGGGCUUAUGUAAUCAUUACCUCCUCCUGCAUUGGUUGCAUGUUUGGCUAACAUCAAACGUUGAUUGUCUGAAAACUUUCUCAGACUAAAUACUGAUAAAACUGAUGCUUUCAUUCUUGCAUCUCCAGGCACUUUAAAGAAAAUAGACAAUUCCUCAGUAAAAAUCCCUAGCUUUAUUUCAUCCUUCUCUGCAUAGGUUAAAAACCUUGGUGUUAUUCUUACAAAUAAACUUGAUCCAUUAGGAUUAAAAGUCAAUACAGAGGUAAAGAAUUUGGGGGUAACUAUUGACUCUGACCUACAUUUUAAAUCACAUAUUAAUUAGAUUUCUAGGACAGCAUUUUUUCACUUAAGAAAUAUAGCAAUAUUUAGACCUCCUAUAACAUUGCAAGAUGCUGAGAAAUUAAUUUACACGUUUGUAUUCAGUCUUCUAGAUUACUAUAACGCACUCCUCUCACGACCACCCGAAAAAGACAUCAAUCGAUUGCAACUAGUGCAGAAAUGUAGCUGCUAGAAUCUUAACUAGCCAGCCAGCCAUUAUCCAACCCACUAUAUCCUAACACAGGAUCACGGGGGUCUGCAGGAGCCAAUCCCAGCCAACACAGGGUGUAAGACAGGAACAAAUCCCGGGCAGGGCGCCAGCCCACCGCAGAGAAUCUUAACUAAGAAAAGAAAAUCUGAGCACAUCUCCCCAGUUUUGAUGUCACUACAUUGGUUACCUGUGCCAUUUAUAGUUGACUAUAAAAUACUGCUUAUAGUUUACAAAGCCUUAAAUAAUCUCUCUCCAUGCUAUAUCUUGGAAUGCCUUUUACCUUACACUCCAAAUCGUAACCUUAGAUCUUUAAAUGAGGGUCUGCUUGUAAUUCCAAGAGCUAAACUUGAAAGAAGUGGUGAGGCGGCCUUCUGCUAUUACGCACCUAAAAUCUGGAACAGCCUACCAAUAGAAAUUCGCCAGGCUAAUACAGUGGAGCAUGUUAAAAAACAGCUAAAACCACAUUACUUUAACAUGACUUUCUUAUAGCUUCAUUUUAGUUUAAUCCUGAUACUCUGUAUAUGCAUUUAAUUAUCAUUAUCAUCCAUGGUGGUUCUGAAAUCCAUACUAACCCCUACUUUCUCUGUUGUUGCUUUUCCGGUUUUCUGUGGUGGCAAUCUGCACACCACCCAAUCAAAGCACCGUGAUGUCCCUACAUUGAUGGAUUAAAGGCCAGAAGUCCACAUGACCAUCAUCAUCAAUUUCUUCCAUGUGAACCCUGAAUACCAAGAGGACUGAUUGAAGUCAUUUAUGUAAGAGAAAUCCUGAAUUGGAGCCUGGUGAGUGGUGCUCCUGGGGCGGACCAGAUGACUCCCGCUGAACAGCAGAAAGCAGGAGUAAUUGGAGCUCCUAAGGAUCCUGCAGAUGCCAUAGUAGAAGAAUGGAUGACUGAGUCGGGCCUGGCACAUCCCAGUAGAUGCUGAUAGAAAAGGAAAGCCAGGCUGCCUAACUGCCAAGCCUUACCUUAACAUAUGGUUGUUGGGGGCAGGUGUGAAGAUGUUCUGUCCCCCUAUUGGUCUGAAGUAUGGCUGUUUGGAACUGGCUUGUAUCAAAAGCCUUUAAGUACCAUGACACCCUAUUGGCUGUAGGGGUUGGACAGAAAAUGUAUAAAUUUGCUCACUCCCUCACUCUCUCUCUCUUACCAAAUGAUGAUGAAGCAUCUUACACACCAUGAACUGAAAAGGACAACACAAUGAAGAGCACAGCUCGGCAGCCAUAUUGAGACAGGCAUGCAGCCUGUACUGAAGAAAGUUGACCACAAAUGAUGCUUUAACUAGAGACAUUUUUAAGUAACUAACAAGUCUUUGUGCCGCCUGAACUAAACAUCACCAUGUACUUUGCAUAUUGUUUUUAUUUACAAAUAUUACCAAUAAUACAUUGUUUAAAUUGUAA